UCUACAAUGAUGUCAGUGAAAUUCGCUUAUGUGCCUUGUCUAUGGCAUCUGAUAGUGAUUCCAGACGUUUCAGCACCCAGGCAACAGCACUUGGACAGCAGUGAAUUGCUGAAAGGAAAAAUAGUCAGUUGCAGGCAACAGCAAAUAAUGGUCAUGAAGAUGACAAAGCCUCUUCACACUACCUGUCUCGCAACAAAAGCCUGUUUGUGCUCAUUUGAUCCUCAUUCCUUGGCAUAUAAUUAAAUUGGUAGGCAGGAAGAUGUCCCCUCCGUUUUCAUUUUCACUUGACUUGAACACCUUGUUUGGAUUAGCAAAGGUACUUCACCAAAAGGGGAAGGAGAUAAUUAACUUGCAAGAACAUUUGGUGCAGAAGUAGUUGAUUGAUGAUUCUGGAUCUGAAAAAUAUGGGAUGAAAAUAUUUGGGGAGGAAAAACAAUAUCCCACAUUCAUCACUCUUUCUUCUGAAUAGGCCUACUUGGGCUGAAGAAAGAAGUCCCUUUUGUUGACUAAAUAUUGCUGUCUACUGUUAUACCUCUAGGUAUCACCUUUUGCAGAGAAGAAUAACAGCAAAGUUUAACAUUCAUUGGACAGUAAGACAUGACUACUUUCUUCUUCUACUUUGGACAUGUGGUUUUACCUGUGAACUAUCUAUUCUUGUCCUAUAAAGCUAAACCCGUCUUUUCCUGUAGGUGUGUCGUGAAAUUAACAAUUAAGGUGUAAU
RNAcentral lists this long non-coding RNA (721 nucleotides) under Daphnia pulex (common water flea). RNAcentral describes it as "uncharacterized LOC124204597, transcript variant X2". The record is from RNAcentral. Lineage: Eukaryota; Metazoa; Arthropoda; Branchiopoda; Diplostraca; Daphniidae.